UACGAAGGUCCCGAGCGUUGUUCGGAAUCACUGGGCGUAAAGGGAGCGUAGGCGGCGCGGUAAGUCGGAUGUGAAAUCCCGGGGCUCAACCCCGGAACUGCAUCUGAUACUGCCGUGCUAGAGUAAUGGAGGGGUAGCUGGAAUUCUCGGUGUAGCAGUGAAAUGCGUAGAUAUCGAGAGGAACACUCGUGGCGAAAGCGAGCUACUGGACAUUUACUGACGCUGAGGCUCGAAGGCCAGGGUAGCGAAAGGG
Molecule: ribosomal RNA, 253 nt
Filed under: uncultured bacterium
Lineage: Bacteria
Description: partial 16S ribosomal RNA
Rfam family: Bacterial small subunit ribosomal RNA
Source: RNAcentral